RNAcentral lists this ribosomal RNA (494 nucleotides) under uncultured bacterium. RNAcentral's name for it is "partial 16S ribosomal RNA". It matches the Rfam family "Bacterial small subunit ribosomal RNA", at positions 28 to 507 of the family's 1533-position model. The record is from RNAcentral.
GACGAACGCUGGCGGCGUGCUUAACACAGGCAAGUCGAACGGUGAAGCGCCUUCCUUUUUGGUGGGUGUGGAUGAGUGGCGAACGGGUGAGUAACACGUGAGUAACCUGCCCCCUUCUUCUGGAUAACCGCAUGAAAGUGUGGCUAAUACGGGAUAUUCUGGGUCUGUCGCAUGAUGGGUCUGGGAAAGAUAUUGUUUCGGUGGGGGAUGGGCUCGCGGCCUAUCAGCUUGUUGGUGGGGUGAUGGCCUACCAAGGCGGUGACGGGUAGCCGGCCUGAGAGGGUGGACGGUCACACUGGGACUGAGACACGGCCCAGACUCCUACGGGAGGCAGCAGUGGGGAAUAUUGCACAAUGGGCGCAAGCCUGAUGCAGCGACGCCGCGUGAGGGAUGGAGGCCUUCGGGUUGUGAACCUCUUUCGCCAGUGAAGCAGGCCUGCCUCGUUUGUGGGUGGGUUGACGGUAGCUGGAGAAGAAGCGCCGGCUAACUACGUG